AUACGGAGGGUGCAAGCGUUAUCCGGAUUUAUUGGGUUUAAAGGGUGCGUAGGCGGUUAUAUAAGUCAGCGGUGAAAUUUUUCAGCUUAACUGGAAACAUGCCGUUGAUACUGUAUAGCUUGAAUAUGGUUGCUGUGAGUGGAAUGUGUAGUGUAGCGGUGAAAUGCUUAGAUAUUACACAGAAUAUCGAUUGCGAAGGCAACUCACAAAGCCAUUAUUGACGCUGAUGCACGAAAGUGUGGGGAUC
Molecule: ribosomal RNA, 247 nt
Filed under: uncultured bacterium
Lineage: Bacteria
Description: partial 16S ribosomal RNA
Rfam family: Bacterial small subunit ribosomal RNA
Source: RNAcentral